Molecule: ribosomal RNA, 491 nt
Filed under: uncultured bacterium
Lineage: Bacteria
Description: partial 16S ribosomal RNA
Rfam family: Bacterial small subunit ribosomal RNA
Source: RNAcentral
AGUGAACGCUGGCGGUAGGCCUAACACAUGCAAGUCGAACGGCAGCACAGUAAGAGCUUGCUCUUACGGGUGGCGAGUGGCGGACGGGUGAGGAAUACAUCGGAAUCUACUUUUUCGUGGGGGAUAACGUAGGGAAACUUACGCUAAUACCGCAUACGACCUACGGGUGAAAGCAGGGGAUCUUCGGACCUUGCGCGGUUGAAUGAGCCGAUGUGGGAUUAGCUAGUUGGCGGGGUAAAGGCCCACCAAGGCGACGAUCCGUAGCUGGUCUGAGAGGAUGAUCAGCCACACUGGAACUGAGACACGGUCCAGACUCCUACGGGAGGCAGCAGUGGGGAAUAUUGGACAAUGGGCGCAAGCCUGAUCCAGCCAUACCGCGUGGGUGAAGAAGGCCUUCGGGUUGUAAAGCCCUUUUGUUGGGAAAGAAAAGCAGCAGGUUAAUACCCCGCUGUUCUGACGGUACCCAAAGAAUAAGCACCGGCUAACUUCGU